CACGUGUGCAACCAACCCCGUACCGGGAGAUAACCCGCGGAAACGUGGACUAACACCCCAUAAGACCUUUCCCCCGCAUGGGGGGGAGUUUAAAACCCCGGUGGUACGGGACGGGCACGCGCGACAUUAGGUAGUUGGCGGGGUAACGGCCCACCAAGCCGACGAUGUCUAGGGGUUCUGAGAGGAAGGUCCCCCACACUGGAACUGAGACACGGUCCAGACUCCUACGGGAGGCAGCAGUGAGGAAUAUUGGUCAAUGGGCGAGAGCCUGAACCAGCCAAGUCGCGUGAGGGAAGAAUGGUCUAUGGCCUGUAAACCUCUUUUGUCAAGGAAGAACAUGUAGUACGUGUACUACCCUGCCAGUACUUGACGAAUAAGCAUCGGCUAACUCCGUGCCAGCAGCCGCGGUAAUACGGGGGAUGCGAGCGUUAUCCGGAUUUAUUGGGUUUAAAGGGCGCGUAGGCGGGACGUCAAGUCAGCGGUAAAAGACUGCAGCUAAACUGUAGCACGCCGUUGAAACUGUCGACCUGGAGACGAGACGAGGGAGGCGGAACAAGUGAAGUAGCGGUGAAAUGCAUAGAUAUCACUUGGAACCCCGAUAGCGAAGGCAGCUUCCCAGGCUCGAUCUGACGCUGAUGCGCGAGAGCGUGGGUAGCGAACAGGAUUAGAUACCCUGGUAGUCCACGCCGUAAACGAUGCUCACUGGAUCUUGGCGAUACACGGCCAGGGUUCAAGCGAAAGUAUUAAGUGAGCCACCUGGGGAGUACGUCGGCAACGAUGAAACUCAAAGGAAUUGGCGGGGGCCCGCACAAGCGGAGGAACAUGUGGUUUAAUUCGAUGAUACGCGAGGAACCUUACCCGGGUUUAAAUGCAGGUUGCAUGAGGUGGAAACACCUCUUUCCCUCGGGACUACCUGCAAGGUGCUGCAUGGUUGUCGUCAGCUCGUGCCGUGAGGUGUCGGGUUAAGUCCCAUAACGAGCGCAACCCCUAUCGCCAGUUGCCAUCGGUUUCGGCCGGGCACUCUGUCGAGACUGCCACCGUAAGGUGCGAGGAAGGCGGGGAUGACGUCAAAUCAGCACGGCCCUUACACCCGGGGCGACACACGUGUUACAAUGGCCGGUACAGAGGGCAGCCACGGGGCGACCCGGAGCGAAUCUCUAAAGCCGGUCGUAGUUCGGACUGGAGUCUGCAACCCGACUCCACGAAGUUGGAUUCGCUAGUAAUCGCGCAUCAGC
This 1235-nucleotide ribosomal RNA is filed under the name metagenome. RNAcentral describes it as "bacterial SSU rRNA". It matches the Rfam family "Bacterial small subunit ribosomal RNA", at positions 114 to 1353 of the family's 1533-position model. The record is from RNAcentral.